GCCCCCAUCGUCUAGUGGCCUAGGAUAACGGGUUUUCAUCUCGUCGACAGGGGUUCGAAUCCCCUUGGGGGUA
RNAcentral lists this transfer RNA (73 nucleotides) under Orenia marismortui. It matches the Rfam family "tRNA". Rfam says of the family: Transfer RNA (tRNA) molecules are approximately 80 nucleotides in length. Their secondary structure includes four short double-helical elements and three loops (D, anti-codon, and T loops). The record is from Rfam by way of RNAcentral. Lineage: Bacteria; Bacillati; Bacillota; Clostridia; Halanaerobiales; Halobacteroidaceae.